AGUAUCAGCUGAUUACUGCUGAGUAUGAUACAUGCAGGACCUCCCCCUCCAGUCAUGUGAUCAUGGGAGCAUUAGACUUUGUGUUUCCUCUGUGUUGAACACUUUGACUCCAUCCUUCAUCUGGACGGAGGCUCAUCAUGCUGAUCUCACUCAUUUAUCUCUCACUUCUUUUACACUCAGGACUCACUGUUGUAGUUCUUCAGUCUGGAGAUCAGAUAUCUGACCCUGGACUCACAGUGAAGCUGCAGUGCAGCAUGGGUCCAGGGUUCAACAUGAUGAGCUACAGCAUGUUCUGGUACCGACAACACCACUACGGAGCUCCAGUGGAAUAUCUCAUCAGAGAGUACGACUUACCUGCUGGACACUUCCAGUCCUCUAUCGACGCAUCCAAAAACAGCUUCACUCUUGAAAUAAGUGAGCUGCUUCUCAAUGACAGCAGCACCUACUACUGUGCUGCCAGUCACAGUGAUGCACACAGAGCAGACCGUCAUACAAAUAACAAGACUGACUGUCACAGAUGGCACACAGGCAGGAAGGAGCUGUGGCUCCACUGGUUUGGCUCUUAACAAACAGUGAGGAGAGAAUAUAAAAGAGGCUUCAUGUUGGAGACAAGAAAUGAAAUAAAACUCAAAUUCUGGUUAAAUUCACCAGAUACAGUUUCAG
This is a non-coding RNA of Acanthopagrus latus (yellowfin seabream), 663 nucleotides long. The record is from the annotation of a RefSeq genome assembly. Lineage: Eukaryota; Metazoa; Chordata; Actinopteri; Spariformes; Sparidae.